RNAcentral lists this ribosomal RNA (453 nucleotides) under uncultured Porphyromonadaceae bacterium. Its description in RNAcentral is "partial 16S ribosomal RNA". It matches the Rfam family "Bacterial small subunit ribosomal RNA", at positions 341 to 792 of the family's 1533-position model. Lineage: Bacteria; Pseudomonadati; Bacteroidota; Bacteroidia; Bacteroidales; Porphyromonadaceae. The record is from RNAcentral.
ACGGAAGGCAGCAGUGAGGAAUAUUGGUCAAUGGACGGAAGUCUGAACCAGCCAAGUCGCGUGAAGGAUGAAGGUAUUAUGUAUUGUAAACUUCUUUAGCAGUGGAGUAAUAAGGGGAUCGCGAUCCCUGAUGCAAGUACACUGAGAAUAAGGAUCGGCUAACUCCGUGCCAGCAGCCGCGGUAAUACGGAGGAUCCGAGCGUUAUCCGGAUUUAUUGGGUUUAAAGGGUGCGCAGGCGGCUUUUUAAGUCAGUGGUUAAAUCGUGACGCUCAACGUCAUCACGCCAUUGAUACUGGAGAGCUUGAUUGCGGUCGAGGUUUGCGGAAUUCGUUGUGUAGCGGUGAAAUGCAUAGAUAUGACGAAGAACACCGAUUGCGUAGGCAGCAGUCCAGGCCGUAAAUGACGCUCAUGCACGAAAGUGCGGGGAUCGAACAGGAUUAGAUACCCUGGUA